Molecule: ribosomal RNA, 651 nt
Filed under: uncultured bacterium
Lineage: Bacteria
Description: bacterial SSU rRNA
Rfam family: Bacterial small subunit ribosomal RNA
Source: RNAcentral
GACGAACGCUGGCGGCGUGCUUAACACAUGCAAGUCGAGCGGUAAGGCCCUUUCGGGGGUACACGAGCGGCGAACGGGUGAGUAACACGUGGGUGACCUGCCCUCAGCUCUGGGAUAAGCCCGGGAAACUGGGUCUAAUACUGGAUAUGACUCCAUGACGCAUGUUGUGGGGUGGAAAGCCUUGUGCGGCUGAGGAUGGGCCCGCGGCCUAUCAGCUUGUUGGUGGGGUGAUGGCCUACCAAGGCGACGACGGGUAGCCGGCCUGAGAGGGCGACCGGCCACACUGGGACUGAGACACGGUCCAGACUCCUACGGGAGGCAGCAGUGGGGAAUAUUGACAAUGGGCGAAAGCCUGAUCCAGCAACGCCGCGUGGAGGAUGAAGGCCUUCGGGUUGUAAACUCCUGUCGGGUGGGACGAAAAGGCUUCGGCGAAUACCCGGAGCCUCUGACGGUACCACCAGAGGAAGCCCCGGCUAACUCCGUGCCAGCAGCCGCGGUAAUACGGAGGGUGCAAGCGUUAAUCGGAAUUACUGGGCGUAAAGCGCACGCAGGCGGUUUGUUAAGUCAGAUGUGAAAUCCCCGGGCUCAACCUGGGAACUGCAUCUGAUACUGGCAAGCUUGAGUCUCGUAGAGGGGGGUAGAAUUCCAGGU